This 658-nucleotide ribosomal RNA is filed under the name Eumesembrinella benoisti. RNAcentral's name for it is "partial large subunit ribosomal RNA". The stretch from base 409 to 568 matches the Rfam family "Bacterial large subunit ribosomal RNA", at positions 2473 to 2632 of the family's 2925-position model. The record is from RNAcentral. Lineage: Eukaryota; Metazoa; Arthropoda; Insecta; Diptera; Calliphoridae.
UCGCCUGUUUAUCAAAAACAUGUCUUUUUGAAUUUAUUAAAAAGUUUAAUCUGCCCACUGAUAAUUUUUAAAUGGCCGCAGUAUAUUAACUGUGCAAAGGUAGCAUAAUCAUUAGUUUUUUAAUUGAAAGCUGGUAUGAAUGAUUGGACGAAAUAUUAACUAUUUUAAGAUAAUUUAUAUUAAAAUUUUAUUUUUUAGUAAAAAAGCUAAAAUAUAAUUAAAAGACGAGAAGACCCUUUAAAGCUUUAUAUUAAAAUUAAAAUAAUUUUUAGGAUUAUUUUUAUUAUAGUAGUAAAUAAUAUUUUAUUGGGGUGAUAUUAAAAUUUAAAAAACUUUUAAUUAAAAAAAAUCAUUUAUUUAUGAAUUAUUGAUCCGUAAUUAACGAUUAAAAAAUUAAGUUACUUAAGGGAUAACAGCGUAAUUUUUUUGGAGAGUUCUUAUCAAUAAAAAAGAUUGCGACCUCGAUGUUGGAUUAAAAUAUAAUUUUAGGUGUAGCUGCUUAAAUUUUAAGUCUGUUCGACUUUUAAAUUUUUACAUGAUCUGAGUUUAAACCGGUGUAAGCCAGGUUGGUUUCUAUCUUUAAUAAAUUAAAAUAUUUCAGUACGAAAGGACCUAGUAUUUAAUAAAUUAUUAUUUUUAUAUUGAAUAUUAAUAAUUA